GUAAGCUACUAAGAGCGAACGGUGGAUGCCUUGGCUAGUAGAGGCGAUGAAAGACGUGCCAGGCUGCGAUAAGUCUCGGGGAGCCGUCAAGGGGCUUUGAUCCGGGAAUUUCUGAAUGGGGCAACCCAAUACAUAGCGAUAUGUGUUACCAUUAAUGGAGCCAACGCGGGGAACUGAAACAUCUAAGUACCCGCAGGAAGAGAAAUCAAUAGAGAUUACGCUAGUAGCGGCGAGCGAACGCGUAAGAGGGCAAACCACUAGUUUACUAGUGGGGUUGUAGGACCGCAACAUAGACUAGGAUCUGAUAAUAGAACAAUCUGGAAAGGUUAGGCAUAGAGGGUGAUACUCCCGUAUAUGAAAUCACAUCCUUACUUAGCGGUAUCCUGAGUAGGACGGGACACGUGAAAUCCUGUCUGAAGCCGGGUCGACCACGAUCCAACCCUAAAUACUACUACUAGACCGAUAGUGCACAAGUACCGUGAGGGAAAGGUGAAAAGAACUGAGGUGAUCAGAGUGAAAUAGAACCUGAAACCAUUUGCUUACAAUCAUUCAGAGCCCUAUGAUUUAUCAGGGUGAUGGACUGCCUUUUGCAUAAUGAGCCUGCGAGUUGUGGUGUCUGGCGAGGUUAAGGAAACCCGGAGCCGUAGCGAAAGCGAGUCUUAAUAGGGCAAUUAGUCAGAUGCUGCAGACCCGAAACGAUGUGAUCUAUCCAUGAGCAGGUUGAAGCCGGUGUAAGAGCCGGUGGAGGACCCAACCGACGGCCGUUGAAAAGGCUCCGGAUGACUUGUGGAUAGGGGUGAAAGGCCAAUCAAACAUCGUGAUAGCUGGUUCUCUCCGAAAUAUAUUGAGGUAUAGCGUCGUGUAGUAGUUAUAAGGGGUAGAGCACUGAAUGGGCUAGGGCAUACACCAAUGUACCAAACCCUAUCAAACUCCGAAUACUUAUAGCGUAACCACGGCAGUCAGGCGGCGAGUGAUAAAAUCCGUCGUCGAGAGGGGAACAACCCAGACUAACAGCUAAGGUCCCUAAAUCUCAUUUAAGUGGAAAACGAUGUGGAGUUACUUAAACAACCAGGAGGUUGGCUUAGAAGCAGCCAUCCUUUAAAGAAAGCGUAAUAGCUCACUGGUCUAGUGAUUCUGCGCGGAAAAUAUAACGGGGCUAAAAUGAGUACCGAAGCUUUAGACUUAGUUUUACUAAGUGGUAGGAGAGCGUUGUAUUUGCGUUGAAGGUAUACCGGUAAGGAGUGCUGGAGCGAAUACAAGUGAGCAUGCAGGCAUGAGUAGCGAUAAUUGGGGUGAGAAUCCCCAACGCCGUAAACCCAAGGUUUCCUACGCGAUGCUCGUCAUCGUAGGGUUAGCCGGGUCCUAAGCAAAGUCCGAAAGGGGUAUGCGAUGGAAAAUCGGUUAAUAUUCCGAUACCGAUAUCAGUGUGCGACGGAAGGACGCUUAAAGUUAGUGGAGCUAGCGGAUGGAAGUGCUAGUCUAAGGAAGUAGGUUGAGUUAUAGGCAAAUCCGUAACUCUUUAUCCGAGAUCUGAAAGGCUUCUGACGCUCUUCGGAGUAGAUGAAGAAUCCAUGAUACUAUCGAGCCGAGAAAAGUUUCUAAGUUUAGCUGAUAUCGCCCGUACCGUAAACCGACACAGGUGGGUGGGAUGAGUAUUCUAAGGCGCGUGGAAGAACUCUCUUUAAGGAACUCUGCAAAAUAGCACCGUAUCUUCGGUAUAAGGUGUGCCUAGCUUCGUUAAGAAUUUACUUCGUAAGCGAAGAAGGUUACAACAAAGAGUCCCUCCCGACUGUUUACCAUAAACACAGCACUCUGCUAACUCGUAAGAGGAUGUAUAGGGUGUGACGCCUGCCCGGUGCUCGAAGGUUAAUUGAUGAUGUUAGCUUAUGCAAAGCAUCUGAUCGAAGCCCGAGUAAACGGCGGCCGUAACUAUAACGGUCCUAAGGUAGCGAAAUUCCUUGUCGGUUAAAUACCGACCUGCAUGAAUGGCGUAACGAGAUGGGAGCUGUCUCAAAGAGGGAUCCAGUGAAAUUGUAGUGGAGGUGAAAAUUCCUCCUACCCGCGGCAAGACGGAAAGACCCCGUGGACCUUUACUAUAGCUUGACACUGCUACUUGGAUAAAGAUGCGCAGGAUAGGUGGGAGGCUUUGAGUCGUAGAUCUUGGUUUACGAUGAGCCAUUGUUGAGAUACCACUCUUCUUUAUUCGGGUAGCUAACUAGCCUAAGUUAUCCUUAGGUAGGACAAUGUCUGGUGGGUAGUUUGACUGGGGCGGUCGCCUCCCAAAAUGUAACGGAGGCUUACAAAGGUUGGCUCAAAGCGGUUGGAAAUCGCUUGUAGAGUAUAAAGGCAAAAGCCAGCUUAACUGCGAGACAUACACGUCGAGCAGAGACGAAAGUCGGUCUUAGUGAUCCGGUGGUUCUGUGUGGAAGGGCCAUCGCUCAAAGGAUAAAAGGUACCCCGGGGAUAACAGGCUGAUCUCCCCCAAGAGCUCACAUCGACGGGGAGGUUUGGCACCUCGAUGUCGGCUCAUCGCAUCCUGGGGCUGGAGCAGGUCCCAAGG
Molecule: ribosomal RNA, 2560 nt
Filed under: human oral metagenome
Description: bacterial LSU rRNA
Rfam family: Bacterial large subunit ribosomal RNA
Source: RNAcentral